AGUGAACGCUGGCGGUAGGCCUAACACAUGCAAGUCGAACGGCAGCACAGUAAGAGCUUGCUCUUACGGGUGGCGAGUGGCGGACGGGUGAGGAAUACAUCGGAAUCUACUUUUUCGUGGGGGAUAACGUAGGGAAACUUACGCUAAUACCGCAUACGACCUACGGGUGAAAGCGGGGGAUCUUCGGACCUUGCGCGAUUGAAUGAGCCGAUGUCGGAUUAGCUAGUUGGCGGGGUAAAGGCCCACCAAGGCGACGAUCCGUAGCUGGUCUGAGAGGAUGAUCAGCCACACUGGAACUGAGACACGGUCCAGACUCCUACGGGAGGCAGCAGUGGGGAAUAUUGGACAAUGGGCGCAAGCCUGAUCCAGCCAUACCGCGUGGGUGAAGAAGGCCUUCGGGUUGUAAAGCCCUUCUGUUGGGAAAGAAAAGCAGCAGGUUAAUACCCCGCUGUUCUGACGGUACCCAAAGAAUAAGCACCGGCUAACUUCGUG
This 492-nucleotide ribosomal RNA is filed under the name uncultured bacterium. RNAcentral's name for it is "partial 16S ribosomal RNA". It matches the Rfam family "Bacterial small subunit ribosomal RNA", at positions 29 to 507 of the family's 1533-position model. The record is from RNAcentral.